RNAcentral lists this ribosomal RNA (474 nucleotides) under uncultured bacterium. RNAcentral's name for it is "bacterial SSU rRNA". It matches the Rfam family "Bacterial small subunit ribosomal RNA", at positions 28 to 507 of the family's 1533-position model. The record is from RNAcentral.
GAUGAACGCUGGCGGCGUGCCUCAAACAUGCAAGUCGAGCGGGGCUAUGUAAUAUCGCAAGGUAGAACAUAGCCUAGCGGCGAACGGGUGAGUAACACGUGGGUAACCUGCCUGGAAGACAGGGAUAACGAUUCGAAAGGGUCGCUAAUACCUGAUAAUAUCCUUUCAUCGCAUGGUGAUAGGAAGAAAGGGGAAACCCGCUUUCAGAUGGGCCCGCGUCCCAUCAGCUAGUUGGUAAGGUAAAGGCUUACCAAGGCGACGACGGGUAGCCGGUCUGAGAGGAUGUACGGCCACACUGGGACUGAGAUACGGCCCAGACUCCUACGGGAGGCAGCAGUUGGGAAUCUUAGGCAAUGGACGAAAGUCUGACCUAGCGACGCCGCGUGAGGGGAAAAGGCCUUCGGGUUGUAAACCUCUGUCAUGGGGGAAGAAGUAAGUGACGGUACCCAAGAGGAAGCCCCUGCUAACUACGUG